GACGAACGCUGGCGGCGUGCCUAAUACAUGCAAGUAGAACGCUGAAGGAGGAGCUUGCUCUUCUGGAUGAGUUGCGAACGGGUGAGUAACGCGUAGGUAACCUGCCUGGUAGCGGGGGAUAACUAUUGGAAACGAUAGCUAAUACCGCAUAAGAGUAGAUGUUGCAUGACAUUUACUUAAAAGGUGCAAUUGCAUCACUACCAGAUGGACCUGCGUUGUAUUAGCUAGUUGGUGGGGUAACGGCUUACCAAGGCGACGAUACAUAGCCGACCUGAGAGGGUGAUCGGCCACACUGGGACUGAGACACGGCCCAGACUCCUACGGGAGGCAGCAGUAGGGAAUCUUCGGCAAUGGACGGAAAUCUGACCGAGCAACGCCGCGUGAGUGAAGAAGGUUUUCGGAUCGUAAAGCUCUGUUGUAAGAGAAGAACGAGUGUGAGAGUGGAAAGUUCACACUGUGACGGUAUCUUACCAGAAAGGGACGGCUAACUACGUG
RNAcentral lists this ribosomal RNA (495 nucleotides) under uncultured bacterium. Its description in RNAcentral is "partial 16S ribosomal RNA". It matches the Rfam family "Bacterial small subunit ribosomal RNA", at positions 28 to 507 of the family's 1533-position model. The record is from RNAcentral.